GAUAAGAACGCAGCGAAAUGCGAUAAGUAGUGUGAAUUGCAGAAUUCAGUGAAUCAUCGAAUCUUUGAACGCACAUUGCGCCCCUUGGUAUUCCAUGGGGCAUGCCUGUUCGAGCGUCAUUUGUACCCUCCAGCCCUGCUGGGUAUUGGGCGUUUUGUUCCGCUACGCGCGUGAACUCGCCUCAAAUGCAUUGGCAGCCCGCCGUCCCGUGUGGGAGCGCAGCACAUUUUGCGCUCUCCGCUGCUGACGGUGGCAUCCACAAGUCUACCAUUUUACGCUUGACCUCGGAUCAGGUAGGGAUACCCGCUGAACUUAAGCAUAUCAAUAAGCGGAGGA
RNAcentral lists this unclassified non-coding RNA (336 nucleotides) under soil metagenome. RNAcentral's name for it is "partial contains 5.8S ribosomal RNA, internal transcribed spacer 2, and large subunit ribosomal RNA". The stretch from base 4 to 119 matches the Rfam family "5.8S ribosomal RNA", at positions 39 to 154 of the family's 154-position model. The record is from RNAcentral.